GUGGGGAAUAUUGCACAAUGGGGGAAACCCUGAUGCAGCGACGCCGCGUGAAGGAAGAAGUAUUUCGGUAUGUAAACUUCUAUCAGCAGGGAAGAAGAAAGUGACGGUACCUGACUAAGAAGCCCCGGCUAACUACGUGCCAGCAGCCGCGGUAAUACGUAGGGGGCAAGCGUUAUCCGGAUUUACUGGGUGUAAAGGGAGCGUAGGCGGCUGAGCAAGUCAGAAGUGAAAGCCCGCGGCUUAACUGCGGGACUGCUUUUGAAACUGCCCAGCUUGAUUGCCGGAGAGGUAAGUGGAAUUCCUAGUGUAGCGGUGAAAUGCGUAGAUAUUAGGAGGAACACCAGUGGCGAAGGCGGCUUACUGGACGGUCAAUGACGCUGAGGCUCGAAAGCGUGGGGAGCAAACAGGA
This 409-nucleotide ribosomal RNA is filed under the name uncultured bacterium. RNAcentral describes it as "bacterial SSU rRNA". It matches the Rfam family "Bacterial small subunit ribosomal RNA", at positions 354 to 777 of the family's 1533-position model. The record is from RNAcentral.